AUGAGGGGCGAUAAGACCGACAAAAGGGAAAAGUGCGAUGGCUAAAGUUAGGAUCUACUGAAGCGUCAAAGGCCGAGUACUAUUAGAUCGGAUGUGUUGCCAACAACUUACAGCUGCAGGAGAGACUGGUGCACUUCACAAAAUAGAUGGCAUCAUGAGGAUACUCCUGCAAACUUCUGACCAAGAACAUGGGCAUGCUGGUGAUGAACGAAGACACACUUGACGCAACAAGGGAGACCCUCAGCCACCACUGUGGAAUGCUGGGAGACGCCCUUCACAAGGAGAACGAUUUUGCCCUCAUCAUCGACGGAAGGACUCUCAAAUACGCCCUUACGUUUGGAGCACGGCAGUACUUACUAGACCUUGCCUUGUCCUGUAAAGCA
Molecule: long non-coding RNA, 383 nt
Organism: Oncorhynchus keta (chum salmon)
Lineage: Eukaryota; Metazoa; Chordata; Actinopteri; Salmoniformes; Salmonidae
Exons: 3
Source: RefSeq, a predicted model, not a curated record